GUAAAAGAGAAAAAAUUGAAUGUAAGGACCAGUGAACAGGCGAACAGAAUGAAAUACGAUUGCAGUUACAUCUGAUUUCCCAUGGAAGUCAAGCUAUGAAGCACUUUGUAGUCCUCAAACUAAGCAGGCGGAGAGACUUCUGGUGUUUGUCUGGAGGGCUCUUGGCCCAGUUGGGCGGGGUUUAGUGUAAUGGCUCUGUUCUCCACUAGAUGGCGCCGCUUAGCGUACUGGGGUAGAUUGUUACAGCGUGUGUAGGCGUGUCUGCGCAUGAGCGGGAGGGGUGAAAAUGGCGUCUCCCAGAUACCCGAUCUCCAGUAUUGGAACUCUGUGCUCUCCCUGACCGGCAAUCAAAUACCCCUCCUUUUUUGCUGGUUUCCAUCUACUCCCCGCUUUGACACUGUCCGUGACCAGGCCGUCAGGCUGCUAGGCAGCGCCUGUCUCCUGAGUUUCAUCUCAGAUGCGGCUGUGUUUCCCGACCCCUCACUUCUGAGGGACUGUGGCUUUGACCUGCUCAGAUCCUCUGGGGAAGGGUCUCACUGACCAAUGGCCGGUGCUGGCGGCACCCAGGAACGUUUGCUGGACUGUGCUGCUGCCGGUGCCCUGAGACUGCAGCCGGGUGCCAGCCGGCCCCAGAAAAAGUUCGCGAGAUAGUGUAGCAGCAGCGUUUCAGGGAUUAUGGAAAAUCACAGCACACAUCUGGCGCCAGGCUUCACCCUUAACGUCCUUGUUCCAGCACCAGUGAAUGUCCUCGUUCUCCGCGGUCCACUGGGAGACGUCGUCCAGCAGGGGAACCACCACAUCCUGUGUGGACCAUGCUCUCUGCCCCUGGAGAUUCACCCUUCUCACCAGAGCAACGCCAGAGAGGAGACCUUUCUGUGCAAGUUGGACAUGUUGAUUAGGAAGCAGGAAAGAGAAAGACAGAGAUGCCAAGAAAAAUGUGCUAUUUUAACGUCAAGCAACACAAAAGAAGCAUAGGGUUAUUUCCAGCCUAAAGUUGGAGGCUACAUUUGGAACAGACCCCUAAGAUACCAGAUGCUUAACUCAAUCUUCUUUUCUCAAUUGAGGGACUUUCACGUAGGCAUCAAAUAUGAUCUCUUCUACCUUCUUGUCAGCACCUAGUGUUCACUUACCAGUUUUUCUGCUAAUUUUCAUUGAGUGCUAAUUUUGCCUCAGGGAAGAUUUUCCACAUAUCUAGGU
This is a long non-coding RNA of Leopardus geoffroyi (Geoffroy's cat), 1197 nucleotides long. RefSeq lists it as uncharacterized. Lineage: Eukaryota; Metazoa; Chordata; Mammalia; Carnivora; Felidae. The transcript has 3 exons. The record is from RefSeq and is a predicted model, not a curated record.